This 265-nucleotide ribosomal RNA is filed under the name uncultured bacterium. Its description in RNAcentral is "partial 16S ribosomal RNA". It matches the Rfam family "Bacterial small subunit ribosomal RNA", at positions 80 to 339 of the family's 1533-position model. The record is from RNAcentral. RNAcentral also lists the same sequence under 1 other name.
UUGCUUCUUUACAGGGAGUGGCGAACGGGUGAGUAAUACAUAAGCAAUCUGCCCAUCGGCCUGGGAUAACAGUUGGAAACGACUGCUAAUACCGGAUAGGUGAUGAAGAGGCAUCUCUUGAUCAUUAAAGUUGGGAUACAACACGGAUGGAUGAGCUUAUGGCGUAUUAGCUAGUAGGUGAGGUAACGGCCCACCUAGGCGAUGAUACGUAGCCGACCUGAGAGGGUGACCGGCCACAUUGGGACUGAGACACGGCCCAAACUCC